Myxocyprinus asiaticus (Chinese sucker) is the source of this 1304-nucleotide long non-coding RNA. RefSeq lists it as uncharacterized. The transcript has 3 exons. The record is from RefSeq and is a predicted model, not a curated record. Lineage: Eukaryota; Metazoa; Chordata; Actinopteri; Cypriniformes; Catostomidae.
AAUCCCCAACAAUAUGAGGCAUCUAAGGGGGGCAAUGGACUACUUGCACUGAGCCUCAUGACGUGCUUCCACUUUGAAAUAGUGCGGCCCGCUUGUUUCCAAUUAUUUCCAAUCAAGGCCGAUUUGAGAAAGCAGAGGUUGGUAAACAUACGGCGAGACCAUUUCAUCGUUACUCCUCACACAAUAGUAUAUAGCAGACAUUUUACACCAGAUCAGCUCACUGAACCGCACACCGCAGAGGCUCGAAGGAGACUAGUGAAGGGUUCUGUGGCAGUGCUCUUUCAUUGGAACAACUACAUCCUUCCUACAACGUCCCAAUGUAUGGGAGAGGAGAGAGAGACCUGUCGAGGUAAUCACCGUUGAACCCAUUCCCAUGGAUGUAGCAAGUGAUCAUGAUUGCUCUACAGUUCCUGAGCCCUGAUCAUCAGACUUAAGUAGUUAUAAAAUACAAGAAAUCUCCAAUGAAGUGGAGGACCUGAGGAAUCAGCUACAGGAGCUACGUGUUCAGCGAGAGUUUGAAUUGCAGUGGUUUGUCGGCUCUGAUGAUGAUAUAUGAUUCUACACCAGAUUUCCCAGCUACGAUCACCUGAUGUCCUUUUGGUGGCUAAUCGAACCAUCUAUCUACAAAAUAGUUUGUGUUUCAAGGGACAAAGUUGCUGCUAAGAAAAUAUGAAGAGGUUACCCAUGCAUGCCCAUCAGCAGUAGACUAUUGUCACAUAUACAGUAUAUCAGUGUGUGUGUGGCUGUCACCAGCUGAGGUCAGAGCCAACCUCCCUGAAGUGUUCAGUGAUGAAUGGAUCCUUGACUGCACUGAGCUCAGGUGUCAAACAUCAUCCUCACCACUACUUCAAAGUGAACUGUACUCAAACUACAAAUCUCACUUCACUAUGAAAGAACUCAUUGGGAUAACACCACACGGUGCUGUGAUAUUUGUCUCUCAGCUUUAUGUUGGAUCAAUGAGUGAUCAGGAGAUCGUUAAACAGUCUGGAAUAGCCCGUUUACUGACAGAGGACAUGGCACUUAUGGUGGACAAGGGCUUCCUGAUGACUGAUUGUGUCAAGUGCAAGGUGUACUGCCCAUCAUUCCUGUGUAAGAAAAAUCAAAUGCCAGCCUACCAGGUGAGAGAAACACAAGCCAUAGCACGACUGAGAGUGCAUGUGGAACGAGUCUUCAGGAGUCAAUCUGUUUGAUGGUGUCAUCACUCAUUCCCAUACUGUAAAUACUAAUCAGUUGUUUACAGUUGCAUUUCUGCUGUCAAAUUAUCAGAACAAAGCACUAGUUAAGACAUGGGUCAAAUAAAAAUC